Molecule: ribosomal RNA, 305 nt
Filed under: uncultured bacterium
Lineage: Bacteria
Description: bacterial SSU rRNA
Rfam family: Bacterial small subunit ribosomal RNA
Source: RNAcentral
UUCCCUACGGGACGCAGCAGUGGGGAAUAUUGCACAAUGGGGGGAACCCUGAUGCAGCGACGCCGCGUGGGCGAUGGAGUAUUUCGGUAUGUAAAGCUCUAUCGGCAGGGAAGAAAAUGACAGUACCUGACUAAGAAGCCCCGGCUAACUACGUGCCAGCAGCCGCGGUAAUACGUAGGGGGCAAGCGUUAUCCGGAUUCACUGGGCGUAAAGGGAGCGCAGGCGGCACGGCAAGCCUGGUGUGAACACCCGGGGCCCAACCCCGGGAGUGCAUUGGGAACUGCCGAGCUAGAGGGCCGGAGGGG